Molecule: non-coding RNA, 305 nt
Organism: Struthio camelus australis
Lineage: Eukaryota; Metazoa; Chordata; Aves; Struthioniformes; Struthionidae
Source: RefSeq, a predicted model, not a curated record
CAAGGCACAAACAGAGCCCAGUCUCCACUGGAGCCCUGCAGGACUACAGGAACGAGUAAAGCAUGGCAAUAGAAGGUAACAGUGAUGCUGUUGUUGCUGCUCUACAAAUGGUCAGUAAACAGACAGCGAGGCUAAGCGAUGCACCCCAGAUCAUGCAGAAGUCUAACGGAGCAAGACCAUACUUAGCUAUUUCCAGAGGGAUUACAGAAACAACCAAGCUAACCUUGGAGCCAAAAGCAUGGUGCAGAGACAUCCUAAUUGUCUCCCUGUGAAACAGUCUGGCUCUUGGCACUGUCCUGCCAUGU